Pogona vitticeps (central bearded dragon) is the source of this 3261-nucleotide long non-coding RNA. The record is from Ensembl. Lineage: Eukaryota; Metazoa; Chordata; Lepidosauria; Squamata; Agamidae.
UGGGGUGAGAAAGUGUGUGUGUGCGUGUGUGCGUGGGGGGUGUCUGGCUUGGGAGCAGCAGCGGCCGAGCGGCUCGGAGUGUUCGGGGAUCGAGGGGGCAGAAAGUGGAGCUCUGGCGCCGCCCAGUGGCCGCCCUGGGGAAAAGCGGCGGCGCCCGGGCUGAUGCUGCUGCCCCUCCGACGAGGAGGGAAACACCGAGGCUGCGGACUACAACUCCCAUGAACCCCCACGCACCCUAUAUUGGUUAGAAAUGUGUUUUAGAGUCCAAGGCAUCAGGCGAGGCGUCCAGACCGGGAUGGUUCCGGCGUGCCAAGCCCACCGAGACGCCCCCCCCGUCGACUCCCGCCCGAUGGAAGCCANNNNNNNNNNNNNNNNNNNNNNNNNNNNNNNNNNNNNNNNNNNNNNNNNNNNNNNNNNNNNNNNNNNNNNNNNNNNNNNNNNNNNNNNNNNNNNNNNNNNNNNNNNNNNNACGGGCCCUCCCCCCUCCCCACUGGGGAAAGAGACGGGGGGGGGAGAGGAGGCGCCCCUGGCCUUCCUUCGACGGGGUGGCAGCAGCCUUUCGAAGCCUUUCCGUGCCUGAAGGGGAACUAGGCGGGGAGGGGCGUCCUGAGGGAGGCCUUCGGGGAAACAGCCCUGCAGGGUAGGCCACCGCCGGGCGCCGGGAGCUGCUGCGCGUGCGCACACCCAUUUCUUUCUUUUUCUCUCUGCCCAAGGGGGGGAGGGAGACGUACAGCAGUUCCUCCUGCCGGCAGGGGGCGCCCGUGGCUUGCACAUCGCCCCUCAGGCGCCUUUCCUCCCUCGUAGGUGCGGCGGUUGUUGCUGCUUGGCGCAUGCGCUGCGCGCGCUGCCUGUGGCGGGAGAGAACCGCCAGGCGCCAUUUUGUUCUCGACGCUUCGCGCAGGGAAAGGAGAAGCCGGUUCGCCGCCGCCGCCAUGGCCGGAAACCCUACCGGGCAGCGGGGGCUCUCUCGCGGGCGGCGCUCAAGGUCGAAGAAGCUGCUUUCUCCUGUGGAGAGCGGCGAGGAGGAGGACGAGGCGACUCUGGUUCUCAUUCCUCAACAGUGGAAGAUUACCUGGCCGAAGGCUGAGAAGAGCAAGGUAUGUUCCUGCUGGGGAGGGAGAUGCGGACUGGAUGAGCCAUGCCCAGCUCCUGCCAUGGGACAACUCCAUGGCCCGCUAGCUAGGCUAGGUUACCGUGUCUCAUACUGUGGGUGCCAUGGCCUUGUGGCCACAGGCUUGCCUUAGCUGUCUUGCAGGGGGCUCGGGCAGAGGGCGUGAUGGCUUGCCUUCCCAAGAGGGAGCAGCGGCAUCGUUGGGUUCUCUUUCUGUCACUGAGGAAGCCAGAGUCCCUGGCAGCGACAACUGUACAGGGGGAAGGAGUUGCAGUUUUGUCCCCUAGAGGUACAGCCGCCCACUUGGACCUGAGAAACCCCAAACACCGUCUCUCUUCUCAGGACUGCUGGUGGUGGCAGGGCUUGUUGAUUUCUGCCUUGAAAAGAAGGUGAGAGAAAGUUCUCCCUCGUGUUGGUUUCAUUUGAGUUCAUGGUUUCUGUGGGUUGUUUGGGUGUUGAAAUCCAACAGGCAUCAAAGUAUGUCUGAAAUGAGCAGAUGGAGUGAGGUGGUGGCCGGGUAGCGGGCAUAACAGUCCAAUUGGCACUGCUGCUGCUUGGGGGGGGGGGGGGNUUUUCUUGGAUGACGAGGUCCUGUUCGUGAAUGCAUUUGAGGCAUUUUCUGGCUCUUCCAUCUUUUUAGAUUUUCAGGAGUACCGAGAGAAAGGCAGUGACCGGAUGGCUGGAGGAGGUUCUGGCGGCAAAGCCUGGGUCUUUGCUCUGGGUCUUGCAGGCAUUUUCCUUCGGCUGGACCUCAUUACUCAUGGCCAGCCUGCUUUUCCCAGAUAAGCCUUUACUGUCAUGGGAAAUGGUUUGUCCAUGACAUUCCCUGUGAAAAACGCCCAUUGCGGCAUCAGUGGCGUCAAACUGCCAAGGGGCCGGCGUGGAUGCAGUUCCUCCCAGCCUGAUUGAAAGGGAAGAAAAGCCCGCAGAAGGUCUCUGUGGAGACGGGAGAGGAACAAGCACAGAGGGCAGGGGGAGCCUGGGAAAGGCCCGACAUCUCGCCCUGCACACACACACCCCGAAUCGGGUUGGGACGGGGUCUGACCUGGGUGGGGGCCACGGAGGGGGGCUUCUUUGAAGCCACCCUGCCGUCGGUUUCCUGAGCGAUGCCUUCGGUGUGAGUCUGAGAGGGUUUGUGCGCGCCCAUCCUGGGUCUUCUCCCCGUUCCCCCUUGGGGCUGGCCUCUUUUCUGCCCCCUCUUCCCCUUCCCCCACCGUUCCAUGGGGCUUUGAGCCAGAUGGGAACCCCGCUGGGGCCACCGCCCUUGCCCAGGUAUUAGCCAGCCAACCAGCAUGUGUGGAGCAUCCCCUUCCCUGGGGGGGGGGGAAGAAGACAGAGCGGACACCUUCUUGACAGAGAGCGGAAGACGUGAAAGCGCUCCCUGUGAGGGAGGCAUGGGGAAGGGCCAGAAAGCCUGGUCAGCAAACAACAGCCCCGCCCCCGAGCCCUCGCCCGCCCUCGCCAGCGGGUCGCCCGCCCAGCCCCUGGGGAGAAGGACCUGGGCUCUUUGGAGUCAAACCGCUUCCCUUUUCAGGGACUUUGGUGGUUUCUGAAACCACCAAAGGCCCUUUUUUAAAAACAUGCAGAGAUCCUGCUAGGUGGCUUUUGAGUGUGGAACCCACUCCUGACUGGCCCAGGGGAGUGCUGGCUUGGGCGGAUCCUUCCCGUCUCGUGCUGGACAGAAGCCCCUUUGGCGGCCGCCCGAUGGCUAGGAGCGCCUUUCCUCGAGAGCUGGGCCAGGCAGCGCUUGCCCCUUCCUGCCGCCGCCUCCCGGUGUGCUUAGCAAAACAAGCUUUGUUCCUGGAAAUGUCUCCUUCCCUCGUGUCCACGUUUCCAGGCUGUUCUCUGGUGGCUCCGUCCCAAGCUUGUCAUGUUUUCGUGCCAUAGAACCAGAGCAACAACAAAACGAGACACCUUGUGAACAAGCCCAUGGCGGAGAGAAUGAGACAGGCAGAGGCCGUGAGGCUGGUGGUCUCCCUGCCUUGGUCAGCAGCGGCUCCUGGCAAAGCCCCUUCCUCCAGAGACAUGUGGAAGUCUUGGAGGGAGGUCAGGAGGAAAAAGAAAGGGGGGGGGUUCAUCUGCUUUUUUCAUGGGCAAAUUGAUAGAAUUUGUUGAAUAAAAUGGGGACGCUGGAGGAUGUAGGCGGGAAA